This 259-nucleotide long non-coding RNA is filed under the name Solanum pimpinellifolium. RNAcentral describes it as "long non-coding RNA (SPIM_LNC000009)". The record is from RNAcentral. Lineage: Eukaryota; Viridiplantae; Streptophyta; Magnoliopsida; Solanales; Solanaceae.
CUGUUCAUAUACAAUGCCCACUAUCUGUCAGGAAAGAAACCCCAACAUGAAGACACCCACAUAGAUCCUCAUGUUUAGAAGAAAAUACUAAACAAAGUUGGAAAAGAUGCUAUCUCAUCUCUUUCCUAUUUUAAUCACUAUUAUUGACAAAUCUUUGGACCCUACCACUCCAUCAGACAUUGAAACAAGGCACACUCAAUUUAGUACGACUCUACCACCACUCACUCCAACAUCUACAUUCUGCUUCCUAAAGCUUCUC